UAAGAAGGGUGAGAGCGUUUAUCGGAAUUACUGGGCGUAAAGCGUGCGCAGGCGGUCUAUUAAGCCAGAUGUGAAAUCCCCGGGCUUAACCUGGGAACUGGGUUUGGAACUGGAAGGCUAGAGUACGGCAGAGGGGUGUGGAAUUCCACGUGUAGCAGUGAAAGGCGUAGAGAUGUGGAGGAACACCGAUUGCGAAGGCAGCCCCCUGGGCCUGUACUGACGCUCAUGCACGAAAGCGUUGGGAGCUAACAGG
RNAcentral lists this ribosomal RNA (253 nucleotides) under uncultured bacterium. RNAcentral's name for it is "partial 16S ribosomal RNA". It matches the Rfam family "Bacterial small subunit ribosomal RNA", at positions 524 to 776 of the family's 1533-position model. The record is from RNAcentral.